This 435-nucleotide non-coding RNA is filed under the name Pongo abelii (Sumatran orangutan). The record is from RNAcentral. Lineage: Eukaryota; Metazoa; Chordata; Mammalia; Primates; Hominidae.
AGCUACACUCCCGAGAGCUCCCACGUGUCAGGGGUGCGCAGACGGUAGGCGCGGGGUGCAGACUCCAGUUAUCAAUUCAGCCAAGCCUAGCGCUGGUAAAGGGUGCGUUUAGCUCGCCCAUCCCUCCUCAAUCCCCACAUAGUCAGUUUCUCGGUCCAAGUUUUACUGGUGCGGCCCAGCCCUACCGAGAGUACCCGAAUACACGUUUGCAGAGGACGCGGGCAUUGGGCCGGAGAUGCCGCCCGCCUCUCCAGGCCUGCCAGUAGGCUGGAGGAUACCGGAGUCCCUGAGGUCACCGGCGGAGGUACGUGGGCUGUCCCUGGGCUUACCUUACAGGGAAACAGGACUGCCGAGGCCACCUUCUCCAUAGCCAGGUUCCUGAUGCUGGGCGUCAGGGCGCCCCUGCACGUCGGGCAGCAGCUCAACUUCUGGCGG